GCCGGCAGAAGCACAUGGCGGACGCCAUUAUCCGGCCGCGUGUGUUCCACAGACACUGCGCUGCUUUUUAAGACACACUCCGGGCUGUAUUUCUCAGAAAAACAAGUUGCAGAGAAUGAUGAGGAAAGAAACAGGAAGAGCCAGCUGAGCAAUACCCGGCUUUGCGACUGGUGAAUUUUGGGUUUUUAAUCACAGGUGUCCAGAAAGGAGAACUGGAGGCACAAAAGCCAAAGAUCACGGGUUGAGAUAAGAACAAUUUCCUGGAAACAUCAAUGAGACAAGAAAACAAACAGCAACAGCAACAAUAUUAACAACAAAAGUGUGUGAGAGUGAUUCACAUGUAAAAAUGCUCACUGCAGAACCCAACUGGAUGUGAUUGCUACCCCAUCCUGACCACCCUGUCUGCCACACUUAACCAAAAGGAAUCCCUUCUCCUCAGAAGGGAGUCCCUUCCCUCACCCGCAGCAAUGAUGUGAGAUGGUAUAGAAUAACCUCUGGGCCCUGCCACGUCCCCUCCUGCCUACUGCAAAACCUAACCCUGUCCUGACUAAAAUAAGGACAAUGUUUUAUCCCUAAAUAUGUAUACUAUUAAUAUUUUGAUCAAAUAAUCAAUUUAAUCAUAUUAAAGGGUUAGCUAUGAUUAUAAGUGAAGUAUAAGGUAUAGAAAUAUAAGGAGUGAUGUGUUUGGAAUGUGUAACCGCAGAAAUCUCACCAAGAAGUUACUGGACCCUUAUGUUUCAGUCAAGAAGCUAUGGAGACCAUCAUGCUCAUCAGUUAUGCUACUUGGAAACCCACUACCCUUCCCAUCUUGAUUUUAAUAUUAAAAAUUGCAAUCAGUAGACCUCAGAAGAGAUGACCAAUGAUUGUUUUAGGAUAAGAAUAUUAAUGAAGUUAUUAACUAUUGAAAUUGAGGUUUUGGGGGUUUGCUUAAGUUAGCAAUAUGAAUUAAGCAUUUAAAUUUUAGCUUGUAGAAUUGUGUGUUGAAUUUAAGCUUUUACUUAAGAAACCUCUGCCAUGCUACAAAGGGCAUAGGAAAAUGCAAAUUUCUGAAGCUUCUUGCAUAAAGAACAAUAGCGGGAGAAGACCAAGGAGUGCAAGAAACCUAGAUAAAGGAGCUCCUCUUUCUCCAAGCUGAUCAAAAUUGACAGACAUACUCAGAUAAGCACCAAGGGACCAAAGCGCAUGCGCAAAGGAGAAAAGUUCAAAAGUUCAAUCAUGAAGAAGACCAUGGCCUUCAGCCUGAGAGACCACCAAAAGACCCCUGUGCGACCACCACCAUGAACGACGCAUGCUCAGAAGGGUGUGGAUCUAAUUACCAUGUGAAGUGAGGACAAGCGGGGCCAGGGGUUGAAUAUGCAUAGAAAAGUUGUGCAAUGUAAUGUAUACGGAACACCUUUGUGAAUAAAGAUGUAGCCCAUACCAAGGCUCAGGGCACAAGUUUAAUGAGAGCUAUCUCACUUGUGCCAGGCACUCACAAUACAUACCAUACCCACUUAAUAACUACAUCAGGUUGUGGAGUCUAUUUAUUCCACGUAUCGCUUCACUAUUGGAACCAAUCAAUGUAAAGGUUAAAUUUAAGAGCAGGCAUGGUAUGUAUAGUAUGUAAAAUAACUUAUAUAACAAUGAUUCAGCAGAAAAAGUAUAUAAAAUGGAUAAGAUUUGUUUGUUAAGUGUCCCUGGCACCCUGAAUAAAGAAGCGUCUGCUUAUUCGCAUCAAAGGAUAAGUUUGGAUAAGUUUAUUUCACCGUUUGUUGACAUGAGGACUGUAUUUUUAAAUAAUGCUUUUUUUUUUUGGUUUCUGCUAAUUGCUAUUCCUGGACUUAACAGAUGUAAAAAAACCAUUUGCAAGUAUAAAUAUAAGAGAAGCUCAUGUAAAGACUCA
Long non-coding RNA from Taeniopygia guttata (zebra finch), 1882 nucleotides. RefSeq lists it as uncharacterized. NCBI's taxonomy places the organism in Eukaryota, Metazoa, Chordata, Aves, Passeriformes, Estrildidae. The record is from RefSeq and is a predicted model, not a curated record.